UACGUAGGGUGCAAGCGUUAAUCGGAAUUACUGGGCGUAAAGCGUGCGCAGGCGGUGAUGUAAGACAGAUGUGAAAUCCCCGGGCUCAACCUGGGAACUGCAUUUGUGACUGCAUCGCUGGAGUGCGGCAGAGGGGGGAUGGAAUUCCGCGUGUAGCAGUGAAAUGCGUAGAUAUGCGGAGGAACACCGAUGGCGAAGGCAAUCCCCUGGGCCUGCACUGACGCUCAUGCACGAAAG
RNAcentral lists this ribosomal RNA (237 nucleotides) under uncultured bacterium. RNAcentral's name for it is "partial 16S ribosomal RNA". It matches the Rfam family "Bacterial small subunit ribosomal RNA", at positions 524 to 759 of the family's 1533-position model. The record is from RNAcentral.